Molecule: ribosomal RNA, 477 nt
Filed under: Asthenodipsas malaccanus
Lineage: Eukaryota; Metazoa; Chordata; Lepidosauria; Squamata; Pareidae
Description: partial 16S ribosomal RNA
Rfam family: Bacterial large subunit ribosomal RNA
Source: RNAcentral
CCAGUGAACUAUUAAACGGCCGCGGUAUCCUAACCGUGCAAAGGUAGCGCAAUCAUUUGUCUAUUAAUUGUAGACCUGUAUGAAAGGCAAAAUGAAAAUCUGACUGUCUCUUAUAAUUUAUCAAUUAAACUGAUCUUCUAGUUCAAAAGCUAGAAUAAUAACAUAAGACCAGAAGACCCUGUGAAGCUUUAACUAAACCAUUAAACCAAUUAAUGACUACUUUCGGUUGGGGCGACCUUGGAAUAAAACAAAACUUCCAAAACGUGCAAGAACGCACUACUUCGGGCUGACAGGCCAAUAUGACCCAGUAAAUCUGAUAAAUGAACCAAGUUACUCCAGGGAUAACAGCGCAAUCCUCUUCAAGAGCCCAUAUCAAAAAGAGGGUUUACGACCUCGAUGUUGGAUCAGGACAUCCUGGUGGUGCAGCCGCUACCAAGGGUUCGUUUGUUCAACGAUUAACAGUCCUACGUGAUCUGA